This 581-nucleotide long non-coding RNA is filed under the name Felis catus (domestic cat). RNAcentral's name for it is "lncRNA (ENSFCAG00000045121.2)". Lineage: Eukaryota; Metazoa; Chordata; Mammalia; Carnivora; Felidae. The record is from RNAcentral.
CUUUAGACACAGCCCAGCCCUUGGCCCGAGUCUGCUUCUCUGGCCUGUGGUCCUAAUUCAGCCGAGGGGCUUCAGCUGGGGGGGGGGGGGGUCCAUUUGGGAGGGAGCAGGUGUUUCCUCUCCCCAGGUCCGCCACAUCUUUCUUCAUUUACCAGCACGUUUUGCUUCUGUUCAACAACAGGCACCAGGCAGGCGGCUGUCUCACGCGUGGCCCUGCCCUCCCCUUUGUCCCUCAUAAAGACACCAGCCACAUGACCUCAAAUGUUUCCUGGAGAGAGCAACUGCCUUUUCUAGGAACCUGCUUUAAUCUCCUUGCUCUCCAGCGGCUCUCCCACGACCUGUGGAUGGCUAGUUGGCUGCAAGAGGGCUCGACACUCACCUUCCUGAGAUGUGAUGAGCUUUCCUUCCGGAGGCCAGUGCUCGUAAGUGCAAAGUGCACGCGUAGGUCAUUGGUGAGGAAGCUGCUUCUCCCUAAAGAUUGUUCUUUGAUUUUAAAAAUAGUCUUUCCUAAUUCACAUGAAGAAAUAAGACAUCCUCUCCAACAUUUUAAAAACGAAUUUAACUGUUUCAUCGGGACUCAG